GACGAACGCUGGCGGCGUGCCUAACACAUGCAAGUGGAGCGACGAACCAGGCUUCGGCCUGGGGCAAAGCCGCGAACGGGUGAGUAACACGUGGGUAACCUGCCCUGAUGAUUGGGACAACCCGAGGAAACUCGGGCUAAUACCAAAUGUGCCCUUCGGCCACAAGGCCGCUGGGGAAAGGAAGCUUCGGCCUCCGCAUCUGGAUGGGCCCGCGGCCCAUUAGCUUGUUGGUGAGGUAACGGCUCACCAAGGCGACGAUGGGUAGGCUGGUCUGAGAGGACGAUCAGCCACACUGGGACUGAGACACGGCCCAGACUCCUACGGGGAGGCAGCAGUGGGGGAAUCUUGCGCAAUGCGCGAAAGCGUGA
Molecule: ribosomal RNA, 368 nt
Filed under: uncultured bacterium
Lineage: Bacteria
Description: bacterial SSU rRNA
Rfam family: Bacterial small subunit ribosomal RNA
Source: RNAcentral